GUCAUUAGCGACAUAAUUGCAAUUGUUACAGUCGCCGCCUAGUACAAUCAUUCCACCAUGACGAGACCUGUUGUUUCCAGCACAUUUAUAAAAUUUCAGAGAUAUUGAUGAUGACGAUUCAACGUUUGGCAAUAGGAGAGGGACUCCAGUACCACCACCAAAGAUGUGUACUUUGGGCUUUAGGAGAGUCUCUUUGUUCAAGUUUGGUUGAAGGUAAGUGAUAUUUAAAUUUUCAAUGCUCUCGUAAAUGUUCCCCAAGCUGCCCACCAUUCCUUGCUUUGUGAGAAGCGCAAUGAAAGUUCCGACGGGCAGGGCCAGAAUGUGAAAGAGGAAGUCGAUGAAGUUCUUG
Long non-coding RNA from Quercus robur (English oak), 349 nucleotides. RefSeq lists it as uncharacterized. NCBI's taxonomy places the organism in Eukaryota, Viridiplantae, Streptophyta, Magnoliopsida, Fagales, Fagaceae. The transcript is spliced from 3 exons. The record is from RefSeq and is a predicted model, not a curated record.